This 229-nucleotide ribosomal RNA is filed under the name uncultured bacterium. Its description in RNAcentral is "partial 16S ribosomal RNA". It matches the Rfam family "Bacterial small subunit ribosomal RNA", at positions 104 to 334 of the family's 1533-position model. The record is from RNAcentral.
CGGGGUGAGUAAUGUCUGGGAAACUGCCUGAUGGAGGGGGAUAACUACUGGAAACGGUAGCUAAUACCGCAUACCGUCGCAAGACCAAAGUGGGGGACCUUCGGGCCUCAUGCCAUAAGAUGUGCCCAGAUGGGAUUAGCUAGUAGGUGGGGUAACGGCUCACCUAGGCGACGAUCCCUAGCUGGUCUGAGAGGAUGACCAGCCACACUGGAACUGAGACACGGUCCAG